RNAcentral lists this microRNA precursor (84 nucleotides) under Haemonchus contortus (barber pole worm). Its description in RNAcentral is "microRNA hco-mir-5950 precursor". Lineage: Eukaryota; Metazoa; Nematoda; Chromadorea; Rhabditida; Trichostrongylidae. The record is from miRBase by way of RNAcentral.
UGGUGGUUGAUGUCGAUUCAGUCGUUGUCGUCGGCGUCGUGGUGACCGAUGUGGAUUCAGUUGUUGUAGUCGGCGUCGUGGUGG